This 21208-nucleotide long non-coding RNA is filed under the name Lathyrus oleraceus (garden pea). RNAcentral's name for it is "Pisum sativum (pea) long non-coding RNA (PSAT_LNC000912)". Lineage: Eukaryota; Viridiplantae; Streptophyta; Magnoliopsida; Fabales; Fabaceae. The record is from RNAcentral.
UAUUGAGAUUGAUAUGAAGCCUUGCUCGUGUGCGCUUGCGAUGGUUGUUGAAGCGAGGCAGGCGAUGAAGAUGUGUGAAGAUUUUGUGGAGAGGAAGGUGACGAAGAAGAUAGGAGAUUGAAGUUUCUUGAAGGUUUUGCAUAGUUGCAAAAAUGGAGAAGAUUAGAAGAUGGUGACAAAGCCGAAAGGGAUUAAAUCAUUCUAACAAAAAUGGAAGAGCAUGGAAUCAUGAACAUAUCGGAGGAAUUGUAGUUGGAAGGUUCAAGCCCUAAUUCCGCUCCCUUCACGUCAACAAAAUGGACUCAAGGCCAAAACUUCAACCGAUAUCAAGAACAACAUGGAAACGAGGCUAACAAUUCACACUAGCAAUGGAAUGAAAACAUGACGCCAUUAGUUAUGAUAAAUCGAAGUAACUUACCAGAAUGAAGCACCGCAGAGGUUCCGGUGUCGUCGAUGUCGCUCACAGGUGAGUUUCUCUAUGUGCUUUCUGCAAUUUCCUCUUCUUCUUUCUUCCUCUUCUGAAUUCACGAGCGAUGAAAAGAGACUGAGGAGGCUUAGCUCAAGCAGAAUUGAAGCUUCGAUGUGAAGCUUCAAUGGCUUUUUUGAAAGAGAAAAAGAGCUCUGGUGAGGGUGAGGGAAAAGGUUGCAAGAGAGAGAGAGAGUGCAGGUUUAUGCCAAAAAAUGCCAAGGGCUCAAAAUGUGAGUGAUCAAGCCCUUAAAUAGAGUUGAGGUUCGGGACUUGCUAGCUUCGGAUUGAGGUUAGGAAUUAGUUGAGGGUGGCUUGGAGUUAGUUAAACUCAACUCACUGAGUUAAAUGGAAAAACUCAGUUAGUUAUAUUAGGGAAACUCAGUUAGUUAUGUGUGUAGAUGUUGGUUAGUGAGUGAGUGGGAACUUGACUGGCUGUUGCAGGUUACUGUUAGAUUAAUGUCACAUUGGAAGGGUUUUUAAUGACUUGUUGUUUAUGUUGCAGGUUAGGAACUUUGGCUUGGACUUAUGAAAGGCUUUGGUGUGUGGAAACAAAUGAGUACGUUAGCUGUGAAUCGAACUGGAUUCUGCUAUAUCAUUUUAGAUGUUAGAUCAAAGAUUGCUAAUGAUAGUUAGCUUAUGCAGGUGUUGCUUGGACCCUGUGAAGCUAUGCGAAACCGAGUCAAGCAUUCCAUCUUCCAAACACAAGGCAACGUGUCGCUUCUACCAUAACUUCACUGCACCCUUGGCCAUCGGCGGAGGCUAGCCAUAAACCUUUUGUGACUUGCUCCGGUGUCGGAGAGGAAGUUGUUAAUGCCCGCUUGGAUUAACUGAAAAACUACUUCGGGUUUGUUGGAAGUCUUGUUCAACCGAAAACCGGUGUGGCGGAGAGAUUCCAUCAAUGAGGUUUGUUAAUCUACUAAGAAAACCUAUUUAAUGACUAUUAUGUUAUGGUUUUUUUUGCUUUCUGUUAUGGUUUUUAAGUGAAAACCGUUGGUUGUAAUGGACUGGUGAUGUUAAUUUGUUGGGAGAUUGUUAUUGCAUUCCGUUAUGGUCAAUUCAGUUGGGUCGUGUACAUGUGGUCAUGGUAGUGCAGACUGGUAUGGUGCAGAGUUCUCUAAAGUUAACUCUCGGCUUUGCUUGAAUUUUCAGGAACAACCCCGAGGCUAAAAUGGAAUGAAGACAUUCAAGCUGUCUAUGGAGAGCAACAAGAUGCAGUGACGUAGCACCAUUUCCACAUUUUAUAUUCACAAAUCUGGCAAAUCCCCAAGAAUCUGCUACAGGCGUGGAAUGAGCAGCUGAACGAAUAGCCUUUAGGAAAUCUACAUGGCCACAACAUGCAACAUAGUUCAAGCAAGUUCUUUGACAAAUAGAAUCAAACAUCAAUAUAUUAGCUCCAGCUUGAAUAAGCUUUUCCAUGCAACCGUUCUUUCCAUGCAUCACAUCCAACUUUAAUGACGUCUGUUUGUGACGAUUCAAGACAUCAACUUUACCAUUCUGCUCCAACAACAUGGAAAGCACCUCGAUCCGACCAUGAAGAGGAGGCAAACUAGCUAAACCAAUAGUUCUAUCCAACACGUUCAUAAGAUCAUCAACCAUAGCUUCAACAACAUCCAAAACCAUUGGCAAACAAAAGUGAUAAUUUUUAUUGUUUGUGGUAAAUUGUGUCAUGAAUUGCCGUGAAUUUGUUAUGUUGUUGGUCUUUUGUUCAGUUGGUGAAACAAUCUGUUGAAAAUUGUUGGCUUUGGUUGAAAUUCUGUUGCAUUUUGCAGGUUUAGCCGAGGCCAUUAGAAGUUGUUUAGAUGUGUCGUCUUCAACACCAACAAUUACCUUAACGGAAUUCGUAGGACCAUCUUCAUUUCCAUCUUGUAAAUUCAAUGCCAAGAUUUCUGUCAUACUCAUUUUCGACCCUUACAGCUCUCAUUUUAGUUGCUUCUCUAACUUGGCUUCUUUGUGGAAAGAUAAGCAAGGGGUGAAUGCAAAGCACGGUCUGGAGGAAUCACAGUCCUUUGGGAGUAAUUCAGAGAGUGGCGAAGUUCCAAUAUAAGAAGGAAGUGGGAGAUUUCCUAGAAGCAAUCAAACACAAUAGAGUAUCAAGAGUAGGUUGAGCCAUGCAGUGGAAGAUUUGCAGCUAAGAAGUCAGGUAGAAAAUAUGGAACUUGAUGACCAUGCAGUUGUCAGUAUUUUCCAUUUUCAAUGCAGUUAUGGAGUGGUCAGCAGGGCAGAAGCCGUUGUAGGAUCUGCUGCUGAAGCAUCACUGCUGGUUGCCAACCUCGUUGUUUAUCAUCAUGAAAUUGCAGGUGGAUCCUGCUGUAUUUUGUUGCUGCGUUUUGUCAAACACCAAGCCUUGUUUCUGCAUGUUCUAUUAUUAGUGUUUUGUACAUGUCCAUGAGGUACCACAACUCAGACAAUCCCUUCUAUUCUCUGCACCAAGACCCGUAAUCGUCGUGCUGACGUUCUUCGCUCAGUAUCACUCCACCUACAAAAUUCUGGGAAUAAUUAUAGGCGAGCCUAAAUACACUGACCACCAACAACGGAAAUACAACACCAAAACUUCUAAGCGACAAUGAUUUCAGGUUCCUCCAGACCAGUUCUCACUUCAGCCCUUAAUUCAACUGCACGUUCAUCUCUCUACCUUCAAUUCAUAAAAGCAAUGCCAUGAGUUGGUUUAUCCACUCCAAUUGAGAAUCUCCCGAUAAAGAACUCAAGGAAAGCAUCAAGCUCAGCUUCAUACUGAAAUAGCAUUCCUGGCUUCGUUAAGGUAAAUACUUUUACCAACUAAUCUUUCAACAUGGCUGACAUUUCAAUGUCCACUCUAGCAGCAUCAACUUGGUUGACUCUUGUUAUCGAGAUUGGGAUCAUUGAUCGGAGAGGGAGGGAAACAGACGUCCAACGAGAGAACAGGUAGCGGGAAGUGAGAGUUCAUGCUUUGUUUCUGGUUAUUUGAUGUCGCGCAACUGCUGUUGAAGGAUUGUGGCAAGUGAUGCAGAGCCCUUCCUUGUGAGGUUUAGUUUCGACAAAUGGUUUUGCAGGUUAUCACGUCAUCGUUAUUGGCCUGCUAGUAUAGGGUUUAUGCAGGACUACUUCAUAGGCAAGAUGUUGUUGUUUGUAAUUUGAUGAUGGCUUAUUGGAUGUUACAGGUUUAUGCAAGGUUGUUGUUGGUAUGAUGCGGGCAUUUGAGGGGAAGCAUGGGGCUUGAAAUCAUCACAUGAGCAAUAAUGGCAUUACAGGGAGAGCUUGAACGCAAGGGAAUGGAACAGUUGGCGCAGUCGGGUUAUGAUGUACCAUGGUCUGCGGGGCCGGAACAACAAGGUUUGAUGUUAGGGUCGACAGAAUACCGCUGCAGGUUUGGCUGCUAGCGGAUUGUUGCAAGUCUGCUUGUACGGAUUUGGUCUAAGGAUGCUGGCGCGGGAAUGUCGCGACACGACUCACUGCCGCUGGAAAAUGAUAGUGAAGGCUUGGAGUGUCUCUCAAACCGGACACCGAAAUUCAUAAAGGGACUGAUUCUCCUGAUUAGAAAACAAACCCACUCGGUGCCGUCACUCAGGAGGUAACACCAAGUCACCAUUGGAUCCUCGUCUAACUGCUGAUGUGCCUUGUUGCAGUCCACCUGCACUAUCUUCCAUAUAGAGUUAGAUGUCCCACUUGCAAGACUUCCAGGCUUCACAGAAUCAAACGCUUACUUUGCUUGAUGUCCACUUUUUGUUUACAACUUAUAACAUGGUGUCUUCAAACAAUUUUGCAUCGGAAUAGGCUGCCACUGAUUUAUAAUUGUCGACUUUUGUGGUGAUGUGGCCUAAAAUAAACAUGUACAUAGUUUUGCAUUAUGUCUUUAGUGUAAUGAAUCUUGUACUAUGUGGUUUAGAUAGUGGAAUUUUUUAAUUCUUAUCAUUAAAUCUGAAUGGGAUUUGGGAUCUGUUGUAAGGAGAUUGGAUGGGUGUGAUUUUGGGAUUUGAUUGGGAUUGUAAUGAAUGGUGUAAUUUUGUGUUACCUCUAUGGAAUGAUUGGAAUUGGAAUUCUGUUGUGCAUUUUGUAACUUUUUGGUUUGAAAUAUUUGGUUUGAGUCUAAUGGUCAUGGAUGGGAUGAAAGGCUAUAAUGGAAAUUGGUUAUAGAAUAGUUUUGUAUUAGAAAUAACUAGUAUUGUAAGUGGUCAUUGAAUAGUUUACGAUCGUGUAAUGAGCGAAUAUGGUUUGAAAAGUUGUUUGAAAAAUUUAAACUGAACAUGGUAUGUGGUUUGAAAGUGACUUUGGUUUCACGAUUGAUCAUGAUAGAUCAAAGAAAAUUAAAGAUUAGGAAAAAGUGUCGAUUGACUCUGGUCAACUGGUUAACAAAAAAACAACAGUUGACCAAAAGUCACCUUAAGUAAAAGUGUGUAUUUUCUUAUGGAUAGUUGAAUAUGUGCCUCUUAAAUACUCCAUGCUAAGAAUAAACUCAGAUGCAUACCAACCAAUCAGCAUAUCACGGCCAUGUAAAGCUUUGAAUGAAUCCCAAUCGAUGAAUCAGGACCAUGGAUUUUCUAAGCACAGGAACCAUCCGUAAUGGAUCAGAUGAACCAGACGAAAUCUCAAUUUUUAGUGUAUAUCCCAUGAUGCUGAUGCCAUAGUUAUAAACCAGGGUUUUCACCCCCCUCAAAGUAGAUCACGUGAUUCCUGACCUUCUAACGCUUAGGGUUUUGAUGAAUCCCGAAUCCAAGGUCAAUUGAGCAAAGCACUUGAACACAAAUUAUCCCUGAUUAGGGUUUUAAGCCAAUCACAAAGCUCCACCAACAACUCCUCAAAUCAUGGGCCCACAACUAGGAUUUUAGAAGCCCGAUCUAUGCACAAAAACCAAACAACAAGAACUCUCAAGACCAAGAAUCAGGGUUGCAACCCACACGAUGCGCGAUACUAAAAUCUUUAAUCCAAUCCUGCUAUGGGAAACAAGAACCUUGAAUCUAUGAUGUUUGUUAGUCGAAGUUAACCAUGAAUGAAUGAUGAAUAUGAGUGAGACAUGAAUGAGGUUAGGUGGAUCUCAGGUUACGGAUUAGAUGAAAAAGCAAAAUGGGGGCAAAUUUUGGGGUACUACAGUUGCCCCUAUUUAAUUUUCUUGGACCUUAAUACAGGAAUUGCGGAAGCUUUUCAUGUAUUCAAGGUAGAAGAGGAUUAAAUACCUACGUGCCCGAAAUUCGUCGGUCCAAAUGAUUGACUUUGUUACCAGUGGGGAGGAUACGUCUUAUGCAAUGCAUGAGGUAUGCUUUUUUUUAUGAUGCAUGCUUUUGCAGGGAUGAGUCUUUAUUAUGGUCGGGAUUUCGACUCAUCGUCAAGAAUUAGGACACGAUCACCAAGAAGUUUCGAUUGGUGCAAACACUACCAUCACGGAACCCCCUGCUUGCUAAGGAACACUGACCAGCUGGAGUCCCCAGGGUGCCCCAGUCAAUUGGAUGUAACAGGCAUCCAAGCAACACUAUUGUUGAGUCACCCAUCACCUAUCAGGUUUAUCGGAUUUCAACGGUAAUGCAAAUUAUUUCUCUUUAAUGUAGCCUUUUAUUAUUCCCCAAAAUUUUAAAGCAUUAUAUGAUUUAAGACAAGUCAGUUAUUUUGCAUACAAAACAUUGAACAACACAUUGGAUGGAAUAACUGAACUUUAUUGAGGAUUAGAGACCCACCUGAGAAGGCCUUCUUGACUACGAACGGUCCCUCAUAGUUGGGAGUCCAUUUGCCUCACGGGUCCGAGUGAAUGGCAGAAUAUCUUUUGAGCACGAGGUCUCCAGCGUGGUACGACCGGGGAAGAACCUUCUUAUCAAAAGCUUGUUUGAGACGCCUUUGGUAUAACUGACCAUGACAGACGGGCGUCUAACGCUUCUCUUCAAUUAGAUUCAGUUGGUCAUAUCGAGAUUGAACCCAUUCAGCUUCAUCAAGAUCUGCUUCUAUGAUGACUCUGAGUGAAGGAAUCUCAACUUCGAUUGGUAGAUCAACCUCCAUCCCAUAAACCAGAGAGUAUGGAGUUGCCCCAGUGGAUGUGCGGACUGAGGUUUUGUAACCAUGCAAGGCGAAAGGUAACAUCUCAUGCCAGUCCUUAUAUGUCUUGACCAUCUUCUGGACGAUUCUCUUGAUAUUCUUGUUAGCUGCUUCUACGACGCCAUUCAUCUUGGGCCGGUAUGGUGAAGAGUUGUGGUGCUCGAUCUUAAAUUCUUCUCAUAACUCCCUCAUCAUAGUAUUGUUCAGAUUACUGGUGUUAUCAAUGAUGAUCUUGCUAGGUAUCCCUUAGCGGCAGAUUAUCUUUUUCUUGAUAAACCGGGUAACCACUUGUCGAGUGAGAUUGGCAUAUGAAGCAGCCUCGACCCACUUCAUGAAGUAAUCAAUAGCGACUAGGAUGAAUCGAUGUCCAUUGGAAGCUUUAAGUUCGGUCAUCCCAAUCAUAUUUAUGCCCCACAUAGAAAAGGGCCAUGGAGAAGUUAGGACAUUCAACGGAGUUGGUGGUACAAAGAUCUUAUCACCAUAUAUCUGGCACUUAUGGCAUUUUUUCACAAAGUUGUAGCAAUCAACCUCCAUUGUUGUCCAAUAAUAACCAACUCGGAGAAUCUUCUUAGCCAUAGCAGGACCUUUCGUAUGUACACCCUCACAACCUUCGUGUAUGGACCUUAUGAUUGUACUAGCUUCGUGUCUAUCCACGCAUCUGAGCAGUACAGAAUCAUAAUUCCUCUUAUACAACACAUCACCAUUUAGGAAGAACUUAGAAGAGAGUCUUCUUAGAUCCUUCUUAUCGAUAAUGGAUAUACCCUCAGGGUACUGUCGUUUCUCCAGAAAUGUCUUUAUGUCAUAGAACUAAGGCUUAUCGUCAGGAUCAACCUCAAUUGCUAGACAAUGUGCAGGUUCAUCUAAGUGGUCAAUCUGGACGGAUGGUGCCUCAUUCUUCCAUUUGACUUUAAACAUAGAUGCCAGCGUAGCUAAAGCAUCUACUAACUGAUUUUCUUCCCUAGAAAUAUGAUGAAAGGAGAUCUCAUCAAAGUAAGGGAUCAGUUUUCUGAUAUGCUCUUUGUAGGGUAUCAACUUGCUAUCUCGAGUCUCCCAAUCGCCUUUCACUUGACUGAUUACUAGAGCUGAAUCACCGAAUACCUCAAGGAUUUUAAUUCUCAAGUCGACCGCCGCCUCUAAACCGUAGAUACAUGCUUCGUAUUCUGCCAUAUUGUUGGUGCAGUCAAAACAUAAUCUGGCGGUAAAGGGGAUGUGGAAACCAGUUGGAGAAGUGAUAAUAACACCUAUACCAUGACCUCGGGCAUUGGAAGCACCAUCGAACACGAGCGUCCAUCGCGAUCCUGGUUCGAGGCUUACCUCGAAGCCUGGCAUAGUAAAACCUCUGAUAAACACGAUGUCCUCAUCUGGAAAGUCAAACUUUAAUGAUUGGUAGCCUUCAACAGGCAGGUGAGCUAGAUAGUCAGACAUAAUACUCCCUUUUAUUGCUUUCUGGGUCACAUAUUGUAUAUCAUACUCGGUGAGCAGCAUUUGCCACCGGGCAAUUCUUCCAGUAACAACAGGUUUUUCAAAUAAGUACUUUAUUGGAUCCAUCUUGGAUAUCAAUAAAUUAGUGUGGCAAAUCAUAUAUUGCCUCAGGCGUCGAGCAACCCAAGUCAAGGCACAACAAGUCUUCUCUAAAAGUGAGUAUCGGGUCUCACAUUCAGUGAAUUUCUUGUUGAGAUAGUAGAUAGCAUGUUCUUUCUUUCCUGUGUCGUCAUGUUGACCCAAAACACAACCCAUAGAUUCAUCCAACACUGUCAGGUACAUGAUGAGUGGUCUACCAGGAACCGGUGGUACCAGGAUUGGUGGUUCUUGUAAGUACUUCUUUAUUUUGUCGAAUGCCCAUUGGCAAUCGUCAUUCCACAUAAUCGAUUGAUUCUUUCUCAACAACUUGAAAAUCGGUUCGCAGGUAGCUGUCAGGUGAGAUAUGAAUCUGGAGAUGUAAUUAACUCGCCCAAGGAAACCUUGGACUUCCUUUUCUGUUCGGGGAGCUGGCAUAUCUUGGAUGGCUCAAACUUUGUCGGGAUCAACCUCAAUACCCUUCUGACUGACUAUGAAACCCAGAAGUUUAUCUGAUCGGACUCCAAAAGUACAUUUGGCUGGAUUCAGACGCAGUUUAAACUUUCAGAGUCUGACAAAUAACUUUCUCAGAUUGACCAAGUGAUCUUCCUAAGUUAUGGAUUUGGCAAUCAUGUCGUCCACGUAAACCUCAAUCUCUUCAUGAAUCAUGUCGUGAAAGAGUGUUACCAUGGCAUGUUGAUAUGUUGCCCUUGCAUUCUUCAAGCCGAAUGACAUGACUUUGUAGCAGUAAGUUCCCUCAGGCGUGAUAAAGGUUGUCUUCUCCAUAUCAUCUGGUGACAUCUUUAUCUGAUUGUACCCGGAGAACCCAUCCAUGAAAGAAAAGACAGAGAAUUGAGAUGUGUUGUCAACCAAAACAUCAACAUGAGGCAAAGGGAAGUCAUCCUUUGGAUUGGCUCUAUUGAGGUCUCGAUAGUCUACACACAUUCUGACUUUACCAUCUUUCUUAGGAACUGGAACGAUAUUAGCAACCCAUUGCAGAUACUCAGAAAUGGCUAAGAAACCAGCAUCUAGUUGCUUUUUAACCUCUUCCUUGAUCUUGAGUGCCAUAUCGGGUAUGGUCCUUUUGAGCUUCUACUUAACUGGAGGACAUUCAGGCUUGAGUGGUAGAUGAUGUUCAACAAUGCUGGUGUCUAACCCUGGCAUAUCCUGAUACGACUACGCGAAGACGUCCACAUAUUCACGUAACAGAUCUACCAACUCGGAGUGUACAUGCUUAGCGAGAGAUGCCCCUACUUUCACCUCUUUUUUGUCAGUUUCAGAACCCAAAUUAAUGACAUCCACUGGUUCUUUGUAUGGCUGAAUCUCUUUCUCCUCGUGCUCAAGGAGUCGUGCUAGUUCAGUUGGUAAUUCGCAAUCUUCCUCACUAUCAUCUUCAGCUCGGUUGAUUGGAAGUCCAGAUUCAUAGUUGAUUUUAGCCAUGUUGUAAUCGGUGAUUUUAUUUUCUCUGCAUAUGAUGAGCUUAUUUUAGUAUUCUUUUUAUUUUUGAGAAAAAGUGGAAAAAAGAAAAAGAAAUCUUUUGCCAUUUCGUUGUUUUUAGUGAAAACAAAAAAUAUCUGAAAGAAAAGGAACACGAGUUUUGCAUGCAAAAAAGUACUUUUAUUUAUUCACAUAAUACUUUUAAACAUGGGGGUCCUUACAAGUUGUCCUCUCGUCUCGGGCAAGGACGAGGGACGGAGAAAACAAAAUGCAUUACGUUUUUUCCAAGUACACCAUAGGUAUCACGGUGGCCAUCCAGUUGGGAAGCUUGAAUCCUGGAGGACAUCUGCGAACAAGGCUGGAUGCCCCUGGCUUGCUACCACUGGACUCUUCGAUGACCGCUACGGUAUGCUCAUUUUGAUAGUCGGCGCUGUUGAACUUGACCGGGUUGAAUUGCUUUUUCUUUGGACUCACCUUGCAUGUUGCUGGGUGAUAACCAAUACCAAACUUGUCGCGCUUUUCUGCCACAUUGACGACCUUACCCCAACCAGGAAGAGGGCCUUUCUCCAAUGUCUGCUUGGCACUCUUCGCUGAGGAUAUGAUGGUAGCAGAUGAUUGAUUGUUGUUGGCGGAUGCAGAACUGACAUUUUCAAACUCUAGGCAGUGGAGCAGAACCUCGACGAUCCCCUCAUCUGUUUCGACAUAUCUGAAAGACGAAAGUUCACUGACCAGCAAAUCCUCUUCACCACACAUAAUUACCAGCUUGUCAUCUAUCAAGUACUUCAGCUUCUGAUGCAAAGUAGAAGUGACUGCCCCAGCGACAUGAAUCCACGGUCGACCCAACAAACAACUGUAGGCUGGAUUGAUGUCCAUGACUUGAAAAGUAAUAUCAAACUGGUGUGGUCCAACACAAAUCGGCAAAUCAACCUCCCCAAUUACCUUCGGGAACCAUCGAAAGCUAUGACGAUCAGUGCACUGGUUCUCAUCUCGGGCCCCUUAAACUGUAACUGACUUAAUGUAGAUUUUGGCAAUACAUUAAGCGAGGAUCCAGUAUCAACAAGGACUCAGGAUAAGAGAGAGUCAGUACAUGUGACCGAAAUAUGUAGUGCUUUGUUGUGGGCCUUUCCCUCAGGAGGUAACUCUUCUUCAUUAAAUCCCAGAUACCUACUAGCGAUGAUGUUGGCAACCACGUCGUCAAAUUGAUCGACCGUGAUAUCUUGCAUCACAUGAGCGGUAUUUAGAACUUUCAACAAUGCUUUGCGAUGAGCCUCAAAACUCAAUAGCAAAGACAAAAUGGAUAUUUUAGAAGGCGUCUGAUUCAACUGUUCCACAAUCUUGAAGUCAUUCUUUCUGAUCAAUUUGAGGAAUUCCUGACUUUCCUCAAAGGUGAUACUCUUCUUGUGAUCCUCAGACUGUUCUUUUUCAACCAUCGGCCCUUUCCCUUUGGAUACUUUGGCCUCUGCAACUUUGUCAUUGUCAAUAACUCUCGUCACCACCGGAGCAGCCGUCACGGUCGGAGUGGCGAGUACAGUUGUCUUUGCCUGCGGUGUGGGCGUAGGAGUUGCCUGCUCUUUAAGUGAGACAAUUGUGGGUGCUGUAGACACCAUAGGAAUGUAUUUAGGAGCAAAUACACGGCCACUUCGAGUCAUGCCUCCCUCUCCAGCGAUAUUGAUGAUCUCUGUAUCAGGAAUGCAGAUUUCUUUCCCUCCCAUUUACGAUGUAGUCUCAUAAUUCCAAGGCACUACCUUGGUGUUCUGAUACGGAAAUGGAGUUGGGACGCGGAAAUGGAUCGGCUGAAUCCUCUUGGGAGGAGCUUCAACCUUCUUCUUCCUGUAUACAAUUGUUAUCGGUUCAAUCACUCUACCUCUUCUGCUGCUUGAGCUUUAGAGAAUUGUAUUAAACCUUGGUCCAUUAGUGCCUGCACGCACUCUUUCAACUGCUCGCAACUAUCGGGAUCAAACUCACAUACUGUACAAUCUUCAUGCACCUCUUCUAAAAACCCAAAUUGUUCAAGUUUUUGUAACACAACAAACAUCGGAGUCUUCACCUCUUCAACUUUCAGUACGACCUCAGCAUUUACCUCCUCAAUGACGGCGUUGACUGACGCGCCGCUAUGAUUCGGCAAAGGAUUGGUCUUUACAUUCGGUUUCUUUGGUAUGAUUGCCCCCACAUGAACCAGAUUGAGGACUAAUUCGGAGUACGGCACCGGGAUUUUGUCAAACUGGGGGCGGUUCCCAAAAUUGUUCCCUCGGUUCUAUGCUCGAUAUUGUUGGUUUGGAUUUCUCUGAUUGGAUGUUGAUGUUCGAUUGUCUCUCUGCGGUUGAUAUUGGAAAGGCGGCUGUUGGUAUUGAGUUGCGGCAAUGUACUUGUAUGGAUAAUACGGCAUAGGGGUUGUCGGAACUCAAUGUCGGGGGAGAGCCUUCGCCAUCACAGUGUUUGCUUCCCCCUCCUUCUUCUUCGUGAAGCCCCCAUGCGGUCUUUUGUUGACUGACUGCGACGCGGUCGUGUCCGUUAUUUUCCCCGAUUUCAACCCACUUUCAACACGUUUUCCAAUUGUGACCAUAUCGGCGAAGUUUGUUGAUGAACUGCCAAUCAUUUUCUCAAAGUACAGCCCAUGCAACGUGCCCAUAAAUAUGUCAACCAACUCAUUGUCAGGUAGUGUUGGUCGAACCCUAGACGCCAUUUCGCGCCACCGUUGAGCAUACUCUUUGAAGGUUUCAUUAGACCUUUGUGACUAGUUCUGUAGUUGGAGCCUUGUCGGAGCCAUGUCAAGGUUGUAUUUGUAUUGUUUCAAGAAUGCCUCAAAGAGCUCUCUCCAUGAUCGGAUCUUCGAGUGCUCCAAACUCAUAUAGCAAUCCAAGGAAGCCCCAAUCAGGCUGUCUUGGAAGCAAUGAAUCAGGAGGUUGUCGUUAUCAAUAUGCGAAGCCAUCUUCCUGCAGUACAUGGUGGGGUGACUGCGAGGACAGCUAAGACCAUUGUAUUUCGGGAGAUCAGGCACUUUGAACUUCUGGGGUAACACCACGUUCGGGACCAAGCAAAGGUCUCGAGCAUCUAUCCCAAAAGAAGAGAAGCCCUCAAUGGCCCUUAUUCUGUCGUCCAGGAGUUGGUAAUCUGCUGGUCUGGCCAGAUAAACAACAGGAGGAGCGACCUGACUAGCCGGUCGAGAGGCUUCAGGAGCAAUUGGCGCUGACAUGCUCGGAUUGAACCAUAUUGGCGGGUAAGAAAAACCUGUUGUCACAGUCUGAGCAGCAGUGGGGGGUUGAAAGUAUUGCAUCCCAGGUUGAGCAUUGGGAGUCUGAGGUGCCCCUGUCUGCAUAUACUGGGAUGCAGGAGUCAUCAUCAUGGGCACAGGUCCUGCCCCUGGGUAGCCAAAAGGGACGGGGAUCUGGCCAGUGCUCGUAGCUUGAGCAGUCUGGCUGGGCAGUUGGAAGUGGAGGCGCGGGCCUCGAUAGUCUUCAUCAUCAUUGGGGAGGUCGUCAAGGACCUGGCCCUGGUUGUCCUCCGGGUCAACAACAAUGACCGGAGUAGUGUGGAGAGCAGGGAGAACCCAAAGAAAACCAGAGUUUCCUGCAACGGUGGCGAGAGCCGAGUGAGGGAAGAAAGCUCCCCCACUAGUGAGGUUGACAGCAAGGUGAGGAGGCAUUCCCCACAGGUAGGCAGCAGCAAGCCUAGUGGGAUCCGCGGGUACCACCUGGCGGUUCCCAGUGUUGGGCACCAUAGUUUCUGCCGGAGGAUCAACGGUAGUGCCAGCAGUAGCAUCAGAAAUGGUCACCCCAGCAGCACGGGUGACAUUGGCAGCAGCAUAGGCAGGGUUCCUCUGAGAUUGGAAGAGCUCCAGGAUGGUCUCCAUAUUGCCCCUGAAGACAUUCAUCUCUCCUUGCACCUGGGCAAGGGAUUCACGAACAGCAACAUUGUCGGCUUCGUAUUCGGCCAUGAUCUUAGCUUUGCUUGAACGUUUGUAGUACGAGUGACGAGUCGUCGUUGUUGCUGCAGUAAAACGGCGAGUGUAAGCAUUUUGUUUUCUGACAGCUUUAUGCUAUGAAUGUAAUAUAUGCAUGUUUAACAAAUAGAAAAAAUAUUAUUUCUAGGGUGUUAGUGUGCCAGUGUGCAUACAUAGUCAUACAGUGAGCAAGGAUAAGACAACAUAAGCAUUUCAACAAAAUCUCUUUUAUUCAUUUGAAUGACAAACAGUACAAAUUAUUACAACUCGAGGUCAUUUCGAUGCACUAGCAUGAAGAUCAAAUUUGAUCAUUCCCAUAACAACCCUACAUACAGAAACAAAAUGAAAAACAGUCUUCGGGGUGUUCUGAGGAAACAUGUCAGCAUAGGCCUUCUUCAAUAACCCAGGAAGGUCCUCGAGUGAUUGGCUAGCAAAUUCGGCCAAGCGAGCAUGUCUGUCUGUCCAAUACUGGGCAUCUCUGACGAGGUUAUGUAUUAAGGAAAGACUUGGUCCAUUCAAGAUGUCUUGUACGAAUUCUUCCUUCUAGUCUAAGAGAACUUACAAGUGAUGACUCUGAAUUUCCCAUUGGGUAGCUUCCUCUUGCAGCUGCUUCCUUUUCUCCAAGUUUUGAUGGGCAUGGCGAUUCAAGGAUCGUAUCUCUUCAAACCUUUUUGUCAAUGUCACUUUGGAGUUAUGCGAGGGUUGUUUCUAGCUUCUUGGCGCGAUCUUGCUCAUCCUUCAACUCCUUUAGCGAUUUCUCCAAUAGGUCUUGUAGAGAUUUGAUUUGACCUUGGUAGUCAAUCUCUCGCUUGCAGGCACGAUACUGGGCUUCAGCUAACUCUUUCUUCUUGUUCGUAAUGGUCUCAAAAGACCCUUUUAGAGCAUCUCCCACCUUUCUCCUUUUGUUUUGCUCAAUCUGGAUGUCAGUAUCUGCUUUGUUGAACCUUUCCCUCUUUUGACUGAGGCUGGCCUUCAGGGUAUUCUUCUCUGAGGUGACUUUUAUCAGGCUGGAACGAAGACCGGCGUUCUCUUUUUUCAACUUCUUGAUGAUUUCCUUGAGGCGAUCCACUUCAGAAGUGACAGCGACAAAUGGCUUGGGGGCUUUGAUGCACAUGGAAGGUUCCCACGGGUAUGGCAGUUUGAUCAACUUGGCCCUUGACUUCACCCAAUUAGCAUAGGAGGUAGUCACAGUACACAGCUGUUUGCCCAGGUCUUUCUUUCCCACCCGCUGUAUUUUGCCCCACGCUCUACGUACUUUCUUCAUCAGCUCUAGACUCUCAACCCCUUCGGCCAACAACAUCUCUUCCAACAAACGGUCUUCAGGUUUCUCUUUGAGCAAAUAUCCCAAUUGUCGUAAUAAGAGGACAGGAUUAUAGUUUAUCACACCCUCUUUUGUGCUGACAAGAGGAACGUUUGGGAACUCCCUACAUCGGAAUAUGAACUCCAUUCUCAAGUAAUUGAGACUAAACCAGACGACGCCCUCAGCAUCUAAUGACAUCAACCUUUGUGACCAUUUCAGAUCACCCACAUUAUCAACAAACGACCCUUUCUUCAGAAGAUGGGACAUAAUCCAUUUCUGAAGCAAAGGAAUACAGCAAUUGAUGGUUCCCCCUUUCUUCAUAUUUCUCCAAUGGAAGGAGAAGAAUACAUUAGCUAGUAAGGUGGGAACCAGGUUCUGGGAGAUGAAUAUGGUGAUAGCGGUCUUGUCAACGAAACCUUCAACAUUCGGGAAUAACACCAAUCCAUAGAUGAGUAAUGCAAAGCUGGCGUAAAAGGUGUCCCAGCUUCCAUUGCUGGCAAAUAUCACAGCAUUCUCAAAUAAGAAUUUGGACGGUAGGCCCUACGUGUUACCCUUGACUCGGAGCGUAGCCUCAACUAGAUCAUUCUUCAUGCACAAGGCCUAAGUUAUAUCUGCUGAAUCUAGGAAGUCUUCAUCAAUCAUGUAGGGUGCUUGGUUCUUGACUGGCAACUGUAGUAGAUAAGCAAACUCCUCUAGUGUGGGAGCUAGAAGGAAGUCCUGGAAUGUGAAGCAGUGCAAGGUGGGGUCAUAGAACUGUGCAAAAGUAAACAUCAACCUUGAAUCUUCCUUGGUAUUUAAAAUCCCCAACAGAUUGCCAUAGGCUCGCUUGAAGGCUACUCGGUAAUCUUCGGUAAGGCACUCGCUGAGCUUCCUCAACUCGUCAACCUUGGAGUCUCUUAAUUUAUAUUGAUAGGUUUUUCUUCGGUCGGUCUUAUCCAUGGUUGUACUGACACUAGCAACUGGAACAGUAGGUCCCUGAAAAAUGCAAAUGUAACAUGUAAUGGUUAAUGCAAUGAUGUAAUGAUGUUAUGUGAUGCAAAUGAUGACAGGAUGUCACAUAGUCAGAAUUCUGGCAUUCGCUGGAUAGACUGCAUAAUCUGUUUGUUGCAGGUUCAAAAGUUCGACAUAUGCACAAGAACACGAGUAUGAAGAGUCUUAGUUUCCUGCAAGAAAGACCCAUAUCCCCUCACAAGUGUGUGCUAUCUUUAAAGGGUGGUCCUAGAAGGUUCCUAGAGUCAAUGACCCAAUUUGAGAUACCAUUGUCUUGGACGAAUGACUCGUCGGACAAUGAUGCUCCCAAAAGGAUCUACUCUAGGUGUGACGUCUCGUGUCAACCAUAAUCAUGGAAUAACUCUACGGACGUCAAACAUGACUUUAGUCACGUUACUAUCCUGUGUGUAUACUCAAGCUCGGGUAUAGAGCUUCUCUCUCGUGUAUCAACAUCCCAACCCAAACAACAGCGCAUACAGAUAUCCAGGAUGCCAGAAUGCAUUAAUAAAGUAAAUAGCAAAUAAAAUAAAGCGAGUAUGGUAUAAAGAUGAACACCUAGAAACUAGCGAGGAAACAACCUAAACUAGGCUCGACUCCUUCUAGCGACUAGGAAGUACUCCAAGUAGCGAAGUAUCCCCAGCAGAGUCGCCAGCUGAAGCUAGCAGAAAUAUACCCGAACGUAUCGCAUGCUCGAACAUACAACAGAGUCGCCAUCGAACUUUAUUUAUCCCCAAAGGGAAGGGAAAACAUCGGUAAAACCCAGGGGAAGAGAUAUACUGGGUAAGGAAGUCGGUUAUGUAAGGGGAAGGUAUUAGCACCCCAAACAUCCAUGGUACUCCAUGGGAACCGUUUUGAUUGUUCUCGCUCGAAUAAGUGUUAACUAGAGAUUACUCGCAAAAGAAUAAGGGGAAGGAAAGAAAUAGAUUAAGUGCUCGGUGAGGAUUGGGGCCCUCAUGCCUAUGUAUCCUCAUAAUGCAAUAAGGAAUUCAGAGCUCCCUAGUUCAGAGAACUAAUGGGGCAGGAGGUGGAAAGAAGUGUGAUCAAAGGUAUGGUCUGAACCAAAAGAUAAUAUUGUUUGAACUCCAACAAGGGGUGAAAAUGUGGACCCAAGAGUGAACAGGUUGUUUGAACCGACAAAUGAGGGUGUAUAGCACUUAUAGCACUGUCUGGAACAACCGAAAAGAGGGGAAUUAGGUGUUUGGGAUAAGCGCCAAACAACUCUUGGUUCACAAGGAGGUACAAGAUGGAGCACAAAGGGAUAUUGUAUUUAGCUCAAAGAUAACUGGUAUAUCACAUGAAGUGAAAGAAGGUAGAGCAUGAAGGUAUCAUGGGAAUGAAUGGAGUGAAGUGACUGAAGUCACAUAAUAGAGUAUCUGGUAAUGAGUGACUGGAUAAGUAUUGUUUGAAAUCGAAAGGUGAAAGUGUAUUGGAAUCCAUAAGAGAAGUGAGAUUUCUACCAUAGAGGAAAACCGCGUUAACCAAUAUGUGGACUAGCGGACCGCCACUGUAGGGUUUUAGCUAAAAAGAAGGAAUUAAAUGUUUGGGAUUAGCGCCAAACAACUCUACGCAUGAAAUGUGGACUGUAUCAAGUGUCCUAAAAGAAUGUGUAUGGAAUACCAAAGAAGGUGUAUUUCGAUGUCAAAGAGACAGUAUGUCACUGGAUGAACGAUUUAUGAUCGAAGGUAGAUAGUGAAUUAUGAAAGAUAUGAAUGGUGCCCUAAGGCGAAGGAUGAAUAAUUAGAAGUAUGCUCACCAAGGAUUCGCAUCCUCGUACCUACGUAUUCUCAUUGUGCAAUGAGAAAGUCAGAGCAUUCGUAGUUCGGAACUACGAGAAUGGAAAGAGAGAUUGGUAGUAUGGAGUGCAAGGAGUAGUGUACCACUUGCUGGUGAAUUGGCAAUUCGAGAUCAAAUCAGGAUAGUAACUUGGAUCCAAGAGAAGGAUAAACUCUUAAUCGAAGAGCAAGGAUGAAGUUAGCAUUUGAGUUGAGAGCCAAACAAGGAUGAGGUUAAUGUUUGGGAUAAGCGCCAAACAAAGGUGAAGUUAGUGUUUGGGAUAAGUGCCAAACAAAGGUGAAGUUAGCGUGUGGGAUAAGCGCCAAACAAGGAUGAAGUUAGUGUUUGGGAUAAGCGCCAAACAAAGAUGAAGUUAGUGUUUGGGAUAAGCGCCAAACAAACCUCGAUUGAAGAGACGGGUUGUCCUUAGGACGUCCUAAAAGGAAGGACAAGGAGUCCAAGGAGAAGUAAGAUUGAUCUUGAAAAGAUGGUAUAGAUUGCAUGAAUGGAGAGUGAUCCAUGGGAUAGAGAAGAUAAAUUGAUAAAUAAGAUAGAGCUCACCAAGAAACCGGGUUCUCCUGCCUACGGAUCCUCAUUGUGAAAUGAGGAAAUCAGAGCUUUCGUAGUUCAGCCCACUAGGGAUGAAAAGAAAUUGAAUGGAUGCAAGAGGAAAUGGAUGAUUGAGAUUGAAUUGAAUAGAAUGAUGAAUUAAGUAUGAGAAUGAAGCGAUAAGAGACUUGACAGUCAAUUGAUCACACUAAAGUCUAUGAAUAAGGGCGAACGCUUUGAAUAUUUAGGGCAUACGCCCCAUACGCAAAGUCGCUCUAGACAAGGGUAGGAGAGACUCCCUCUCAUCAUUUCUUAUCACUUAAGACUUGAAAGGCAUGAUACUUAUCUUGACUGACAAGUUGCUGGUGAAGAACCUUUGUUGUUGAUCCUUGUGUUGAUAUUGAACUUGUGUGAAGACUUGGUAGUUUAAUUGAUUCAUCUUGCACUAAAGUAUAUGAAUAAGGGCGAACACUUUGAAUAUUUGGGGCAUACGCCCCAUACGCAAAGUCGCUCUAGACAAGGGUAGGAGAGACUCCCUCUCAUCAUUCCUUAUUACUUAAGGCUCAUUUCGUACAAUUUGAAUCGUUUUUACCAAGUGUUGACCUUUGAAUUGUCUUGUAUAAUUCGCUGCUUGGUAUGACUGGGGAUGCCUUGAUUGAAGAUCUUGUCUCGAGGCCUUGAGCUCCACAGCGUGAAAGAAAAGUCCUACUAAGUGACCAAGGUGGUCACUCAAUUAGAUUGUGGGAUUAUAUAAGUUCAAAGGAUUUAACUAAUCAAAAUUGCUUUUGAUCAAUUUAAUCGGGGGUUUUGUUUUAGUUUUGAAGGGAACUAAUUUUUGGAUCUAAUUGAAGUUAGUCAUUGUUAGAACUAACCUAAGGGAUCAUGUAUUGAAAUUGAUUAAAAUUCUAUGUUAGAAGUCCUAAGGGAGCAUGUCAAAAUAUUGAUUAAAAUCAUUACUAAAAUUCUAUGUUAAGUCCUACAAUGAUUGCAUUCUAACCCUAAGGAUCAAAAUCAUUAUGAUUAACCUAAUUCCUAAUCCAACUAAAUCACAUUAAUAUCUAAUUAAACCUAUUUAAACAAACGAUUCUAUGUUAACGCCCAAUUGACAAUAAAGCCAAGAAAAUCCUAUUUCCUACCGAGAUAAAAAAUGAUGUAAAUUCUAAUCAGAAAAACAAAGUUAAUCAACAAAAAUUAACUAUGAUUAGUGAAUUAACUAAGACCAAGAAAAUCCUAUUUCCUACCGAGAUAAAAAAUGAUGUAAAUUCUAAUCAGAAAAACAAAGUUAAUCAACAAAAAUUAACUAUGAUUAGUGAAUUAACUAAGAAAUUUAAUGGUGGACAUGAGUAUUGGGCCAGGGGUGAAUUUUGAAUAGGGUUGAAACAAGCAAAGGCUAGUUUGUUCGGGCCAAAGGCCCAAGCCUCACUAAGAAUUCGUCCGGGUUUCAAGAUCCCUACGAAAUCUCCAAGAAUUGGCCAGUCGAAAUUCUCCACCGAAAUUCCAUGAACGGAGUGAGAUGCACCUCACCGGAAGCUGACAGCGUCCUCCCCACGACUCUAAGCCAGUGCUUCUUCAAAUCAAAACCCCACUCCGAUCUAACGCUCAACAUGAACCCUGCCGAACCACACACCCAAAUUUAAAACUCAAUGGCAACAAAAGCAAAACUACAUCUUCCUCAUUCGAUCUCAAAUCGGCACUGAGACAACAAACACGGCGCAAGAAAUUCGGAAUCGCUUCGAUCUUGCACGAACAACCCAAAAUUUGACGAAGAUGAACGAAUUCAGUUUUCUCCCUUCAAUUCGAAAACGAAAUUGACGUCGAUUGCGUUUCGAUCCUCUUCUUUGCUUAUCACACUUCAAUUCGCGACAUUGUUGUUGUUUUAAGAUGAAGGAUGUUGGCGCUGCUCCUUUGUCGCGUGCGACAGCGUAUUGAGAUUGAUACGAAGCCUUGCUCGUGUGCGCUUGCGAUGGUUGUUGAAGCGAGGCAGGCGAUGAAGACGUGUGAAGAUUUUGUGGAGAGGAAGGUGACGAAGAAGAUAGGAGAUUGAAGUUUCUUGAAGGUUUUUCAUAGUUACAAAAAUGAAGAAGAUUAGAAGAUGGUGACAAAGCCGAAAGGGAUUAAAGAAUUCUAACAAAAUGGAAGAGCACAGAAUCAUGAACAGGUCGGAGGAAUUGUAGUUGGAAGAUUCAAGCCAUAAUUCCGCUCCCUUCACAUCAAUAGAAUGGACUCAAGGCCAAAACUUCAACCGAUAUCAAGAACAACAUGGAAACGAGGCUAGCAAUUCGCACAAGCAAUGGAAUGAAAACAUGACGCCAUGAGUUAUGAUAAAUCGAAGUAACUUACUAGAAUGAAGCGCCGCGGAGGUUCCGGUGUCGUCGAUGUCGCUCAUAGGUGAGUUUCUCUAUGUGCUUUCUGCAAUUUCCUCUUCUUCUUUCUUCUUCUUCUGAAUUUGCGAACGAUGAAAAGAGACUGGGGAGGCUUAGCUCAAGCAGAAUUGAAGCUUCGAUGUGAAGCUUCAAUGGCUUCUUUAAAAGAGAAAAAGAGCUCUGGUGAUGGCGAGGGAAAAGGUUGCAAGAGAGAGAGAGAGAGAGUGCAGGUUUAUGCCAAAAAAUGCCAAGGGCUCAAAAUGUGAGUGAUCAAGCCCUUAAAUAGAGUUGAGGUUCGGGACUUGCUAGCUUCGUAUAUAGGAAUUAGUUGAGGGUGGCUUGGAGUUAGUUAAACUCAAAUCACUGAGUUAAAUGGAAAAACUAAGUUAGUUAUAUUAGAGAAACUCGGUUAGUUAUGUGUGUAGAUGUUGGUUAGUGAGCGAGUGGGAACUUGACUGGCUACUGCAGGUUACUGUUAGAUUAAUGUCACAUUGGAAGGGUUUUUAUUGACUCGUUGUUUAUGUUGCAGGUUAGGGACUUUGGCUUGGACUUAUGAAAGGCUUUGGUGUGUAGAAACAAAUGAGUACGUUAACUGUGAAUCAAACUGGGUUCUUCUAUAUCAAGUUAGAUGUUAGAUUAAAGAUUUGUAAUGAUAGUUAGCUUAUGCAGGUGUUGCAGGACCCUGUGAAGCUAUGUGAAACCGAGUCAAGCAUUCCAUCUUCCAAACACAAGGAAACGGGUCGCUUAUACCAUAACUUCACUGCACCCUUGGCCAUCGGCGGAGGCUAGCCAUAAACCUUUUGUGACUUGCUCCGGUGUCGGAGAGGAAGUUGUUA